UGAAAUGCGUAGAGAUGUGGAGGAACACCAAUGGCGAAGGCAGCCCCCUGGGAUAACACUGACGCUCAUGUACGAAAGCGUGGGUAGCAAACAGGAUUAGAUACCCUGGUAGUCCACGCCCUAAACGAUGUCAACUGGUUGUUGGGGGAGUGAAAUCCCUUAGUAACGAAGCUAACGCGUGAAGUUGACCGCCUGGGGAGUACGGUCGCAAGAUUAAAACUCAAAGGAAUUGACGGGGACCCGCACAAGCGGUGGAUGAUGUGGAUUAAUUCGAUGCAACGCGAAAAACCUUACCUACCCUUGACAUGUCCAGAAUCCUGCAGAGAUGCGGGAGUGCCCGAAAGGGAAUUGGAACACAGGUGCUGCAUGGCUGUCGUCAGCUCGUGUCGUGAGAUGUUGGGUUAAGUCCCGCAACGAGCGCAACCC
This 426-nucleotide ribosomal RNA is filed under the name uncultured bacterium. RNAcentral describes it as "bacterial SSU rRNA". It matches the Rfam family "Bacterial small subunit ribosomal RNA", at positions 682 to 1104 of the family's 1533-position model. The record is from RNAcentral.